This 422-nucleotide ribosomal RNA is filed under the name uncultured bacterium. RNAcentral's name for it is "bacterial SSU rRNA". It matches the Rfam family "Bacterial small subunit ribosomal RNA", at positions 355 to 775 of the family's 1533-position model. The record is from RNAcentral.
UCGAGAAUCUUCGGCAAUGGGCGCCAGCCCGACCGAGCGACGCCGCGUGGAGGACGAAGGCCUUCGGGUUGUAAACUCCUGUCGGGGGAGAGGAACGGGCCGUGAAGAGCGGCCCUUGACCGAUCCCCGGAGGAAGCACGGGCUAAGUUCGUGCCAGCAGCCGCGGUAAGACGAACCGUGCGAACGUUAUUCGGAAUCACUGGGCUUAAAGCGCGUGUAGGCGGGCCGGUACGUCGGUCGCUGAAAGCCCCCGGCUCAACCGGGGAAGCGGCGGCGAUACGACCGGCCUGGAGGGGGGUAGGGGGACCUGGAACUUCCGGUGGAGCGGUGAAAUGCGUUGAGAUCGGAAGGAACGCCCGUGGCGAAAGCGAGGUCCUGGACCCUUUCUGACGCUGAGACGCGAAAGCCAGGGGAGCGAACGG